UACGUAGGGUGCGAGCGUUACUCGGAAUCACUGGGCGUAAAGCGUGCGUAGGCGGUUGGUUAAGUCUGCUGUGAAAGCCCUGGGCUCAACCUGGGAACUGCAGUGGAUACUGGCCAGCUCGAGUGUGAUAGAGGAUGGUGGAAUUCCCGGUGUAGCGGUGAAAUGCGUAGAGAUCGGGAGGAACACCAGUGGCGAAGGCGGCCAUCUGGAUCAACACUGACGCUGAGGCACGAAAGCGUGGGGAGCAACAGG
RNAcentral lists this ribosomal RNA (252 nucleotides) under uncultured bacterium. RNAcentral describes it as "partial 16S ribosomal RNA". It matches the Rfam family "Bacterial small subunit ribosomal RNA", at positions 524 to 775 of the family's 1533-position model. The record is from RNAcentral.